GAUGAACGCUAGCGGCAGGCUUAACACAUGCAAGUCGAGGGGCAGCGCGGGAUAGCUAUACCCUGGCGGCUACCGGCGGAAGGGUGCGUAACGCGUGAGCGACAUGCCCGUUGCCCGGGGACAACCGCGGGAAACGCCGACUAAUCCCCGAUGGGAUAUUGUGCCGCAUGGCACGAUAUUGAAAGUUACGGCGGCGACGAAUUGGCUCUCGUCCCAUUAGCUUGUUGGCGGGGUAACGGCCCACCAAGGCUGCGAUCGGUAGUGGUUCUGAGAGGAAGGCCCCCCUCAAAGGGACUGAGACACGGCACAUACUCCUACGGGAGCCAUCAGGAAGGAAUAGCGAUGAAUGAGCGGAAGCCUGAGCCAGCCAGGCCGCGUGCGGAAGGGAGGCCGUAUGGGCUGUGAACCGCUUUUGCCUGAGGGCAAGAAGGGCGUCGCGCACGUCCGAUGAGGGUACCAGGCGAAUAAGCAUCGGCUAACUCCGUG
This 486-nucleotide ribosomal RNA is filed under the name uncultured bacterium. RNAcentral's name for it is "partial 16S ribosomal RNA". It matches the Rfam family "Bacterial small subunit ribosomal RNA", at positions 28 to 507 of the family's 1533-position model. The record is from RNAcentral.